This 253-nucleotide ribosomal RNA is filed under the name uncultured bacterium. Its description in RNAcentral is "partial 16S ribosomal RNA". It matches the Rfam family "Bacterial small subunit ribosomal RNA", at positions 524 to 776 of the family's 1533-position model. The record is from RNAcentral.
UACGAAGGGUGCAAACGUUGCUCGGAAUUAUUGGGCGUAAAGCGUGCGCAGGCGGUUGUGCAAGACAGAUGUGAAAUCCCCGGGCUCAACCUGGGAACUGCAUUUGUGACUGCACGGCUGGAGUGCGGCAGAGGGGGAUGGAAUUCCGCGUGUAGCAGUGAAAUGCGUAGAUAUGCGGAGGAACACCGAUGGCGAAGGCAAUCCCCUGGGCCUGCACUGACGCUCAUGCACGAAAGCGUGGGGAGCAAACAGG